AUUGAACGCUGGCGGCAUGCCUUACACAUGCAAGUCGAACGGCAGCACGGGUGCUUGCCCCUGGCGGCGAGUGGCGAACGGGUGAGUAAUACAUCGGAACAUGUCCUGUAGUGGGGGAUAGCCCGGCGAAAGCCGGAUUAAUACCGCAUACGAUCUACGGAUGAAAGCGGGGGACCUUCGGGCCUCGCGCUAUAGGGUUGGCCGAUGGCUGAUUAGCUAGUUGGUGGGGUAAAGGCCUACCAAGGCGACGAUCAGUAGCUGGUCUGAGAGGACGACCAGCCACACUGGGACUGAGACACGGCCCAGACUCCUACGGGAGGCAGCAGUGGGGAAUUUUGGACAAUGGGCGAAAGCCUGAUCCAGCAAUGCCGCGUGUGUGAAGAAGGCCUUCGGGUUGUAAAGCACUUUUGUCCGGAAAGAAAUCCUUGGCUCUAAUACAGUCGGGGGAUGACGGUACCGGAAGAAUAAGCACCGGCUAACUACGUG
This 486-nucleotide ribosomal RNA is filed under the name uncultured bacterium. RNAcentral describes it as "partial 16S ribosomal RNA". It matches the Rfam family "Bacterial small subunit ribosomal RNA", at positions 30 to 507 of the family's 1533-position model. The record is from RNAcentral.